AAGAAUCAUACAAAUGUUGGAUUCCUGCGUAAUACACUUUCCUUUUGAUUUGAUCGAAAAAGUUUUACCAAUUUCAAACCUUCCCUUGGAAUUGGAAAUUUUCUCGAAUGGGCCCCUUUAAGUUUAUGUAUCGAAAAUAUACUUACGAAGUUGUUCCAAUUUGUUGAUUGAUACUAACCCUAGAUUCUUGCCCCUGAAAAAGAAAAAAAUACUUUCUACUCGAGCUCCAUCCUAUACUAUAUUAUACCACCCCCCCCCAAAAAAAAAGGGGGUUACAGCGGAAUAGAACAAAUGAUGUCGAGCCAAGAGCACUUUCAUUCCUAUAUAUUCCUAUAUAAUAUAUAUAAAAAUGGUGGAUGUAAGACUCCACAGCGGAUCAUGUCCUUCAAGUCGCACGUUGCUUUCUACCACAUCGUUUUAAACGAAGUUUUACCAUAACAUUCCUUCAGUUUGGAACCCAUAUGUAAUUGAUUCAAUUAUGGAAUCGUGAAUAAUCAUUGGUUCGGUUGUAUACAUAGUAAUCUAUACCUUUUCUUCUAUAUGAAAAACGGAGAGUAUCAGCAAGAAUAAAUUAAUUUAACCCCAUUUUUUUAGAUUAAUAGAGAUUAAUAGAAUUUAAUAUUGGAAAUUCUAUUUUCUUAAUCAUUGUAAAUUUUAAACUAUUUUUCUAUUUUUGUAAAAAUCAAAUUAGUUAACUAAAUUAUAACUAAUAUAACACGAAUAAAUAAAUAUAAUACGAAGAAACAAGUUAUUUUGAAUCUGUAUCUUCAAGUAAGAUAAUAGUGAUAAUAAAUUCAACAAUUUCACACUUCUUCAAGUACCAAGAACUCAUAGGGGUUCGUUACAAAGAUUUAAUUGAUUGAAAAAUUUCCUAUCCGAUAUAAUUAUUUGCAUUUUGAAAAACAGAAAGUUUUCCAGCAAGGACCUUUCGUUUUUUAUUAUCAUUUUAUCAUCAGUAAGAGAGAGGGAAAAAAAAUAUUAGAUU
This 985-nucleotide long non-coding RNA is filed under the name Fragaria vesca (wild strawberry). Its description in RNAcentral is "long non-coding RNA (FVES_LNC004397)". Lineage: Eukaryota; Viridiplantae; Streptophyta; Magnoliopsida; Rosales; Rosaceae. The record is from RNAcentral.